GCCAUCAGGACUGCUUUUUGGAUGCAUUUACUAGUUCACUAUAAUUUAUUUAUUCUUGCAUAUUUUUGGAUCACAUAAAGUGCAGGCUACUUGCAAGCAAAGAUAGUGCCUCCUGUUUCUCCACUGUGCUGAUAUACAGCCUUGUUCGUUAUAAGUGACCAGAACAGCUUGGUCCAGCCAUGCUGCUGCAAAUGGCAUUCUUUCAUUCAACAGAAAAUUUUAGAAGCUUAUCAAAAGCUUUUGUUGCUUGGAACCCAGCCACCAUGCUGUACGGAAGCCCAAGCAGCCCCAUGGAGAGGCCCAUGUGAAGGACAACCAAGUGCCCUGACUGACAACCCCAGCAGAGCUCCUGGUUGUAAUCUGAUG
Long non-coding RNA from Phacochoerus africanus (Common warthog), 366 nucleotides. RefSeq lists it as uncharacterized. Lineage: Eukaryota; Metazoa; Chordata; Mammalia; Artiodactyla; Suidae. The record is from RefSeq and is a predicted model, not a curated record. The transcript has 3 exons.